RNAcentral lists this unclassified non-coding RNA (253 nucleotides) under uncultured Chitinophagales bacterium. RNAcentral's name for it is "contains 16S-23S intergenic spacer region". It matches the Rfam family "Bacterial small subunit ribosomal RNA", at positions 524 to 776 of the family's 1533-position model. Lineage: Bacteria; Pseudomonadati; Bacteroidota; Chitinophagia; Chitinophagales. The record is from RNAcentral.
UACGGAGGGUGCAAGCGUUAUCCGGAUUCACUGGGUUUAAAGGGUGCGUAGGAGGGCAGGUAAGUCAGUGGUGAAAUCUUCGAGCUUAACUCGGAAACUGCCGUUGAUACUAUCUGUCUUGAAUAUCGUGGAGGUGAGCGGAAUAUGUCAUGUAGCGGUGAAAUGCUUAGAUAUGACAUAGAACACCGAUUGCGAAGGCAGCUCGCUACACGAAUAUUGACUCUGAGGCACGAAAGCGUGGGGAUCAAACAGG